RNAcentral lists this long non-coding RNA (767 nucleotides) under Cricetulus griseus (Chinese hamster). RNAcentral's name for it is "lncRNA (ENSCGRG00015042393.1)". The record is from RNAcentral. Lineage: Eukaryota; Metazoa; Chordata; Mammalia; Rodentia; Cricetidae.
GUGAGUGUGGGCUAGUAGGGGCUCUCUCACAGGUGGAAGGUUGUGAUUAGAGACAGAUCUGAUCCUAAUCAACUGUUCACAAGAUGCUUUUCACCCCUGCAAGUCUCACAACAGAUCACUUUCCUAGGGCCGUUCUCACUGAUUCAUCUCCCCUUUUCCAGCUGUCCAUUCCGUGUGGACAGACUGCAGGAGAGGCUGUCCAGAAAACAAAUCUCACCUAGUUGUGGAGAACGGGUUAGGAGAGGUGAGUUAAGGCAUAAAGUCUCGCCUUGACAAUAAGUGCAGUAACCCCUGCCCUCAAUGGUGGUUCCGUAAUGGGAUCCACAGGAUGCAAAUUACUUCCUUGGUUCCUUGUUUGUUCUGGGCCACUGGAGAAGACAACCAGCUUCAAGGCACCGGAGGCUGAAGCACGUGGUGGACAUUCUGUUGUUAAUCGGCAAUUUACUCGGUGAAGAUGGUCACCAACAAAAGGACUGAGUGAAAUGAAACUGUUCCUUUUAUCCUGUCUGGGCCUGUCUGGCUCAGAGGGGCCAACAUGAAUGGCAAGAAAUCUGAGAAUGUCCUCCUGCAUGAAUCCCUGGGACAAUCAAUCCGAGCUUGCCAGGCGGUGGUGGCACACGCCUUUAAUCCCAGCACUCAGGAGGCAGAGGCAAGCAGAUCUCCAUGAGUUCCAGGCCAUCCUGUUCUACGGAGUAAGUUCCAAGACAGGCUUCAAAGCUACAGAGAAACCCUGUCUCGAAAAACGAAACAAAACAACAACAAAAGAG